UUCUUCGAAUUUUCCUUUAUAUUCUGAAUUUUAAUUUUUUAAGGAAAAUUUGCAGUCAUCUCUCUGUGGGAGGUUUAAGAUCGAGAAGUUGGAUUGGAAUCAGUCGGAUUUCUAGGGUUUUGAUAUCGGAAUUGGGGGUUUUUUUUAGCGAUCUGAUUGACGGUCUGGAUUGAUCGGCAUCGAAUAACGGACGAGUUUUUUUGAAUUUUGAGAUUUGGGAUUCUAGGGUUUGUGGAGUUUCCUUCGAAAUUGGGGGAAACGAUGAACGAUCAGUCAAAGCUGAUGAAUCAAGCGCCACCGAUGAUGAGUUUGACCCAAGCUCAAGUGAUGAACCAGCCGCUGCCACAGAUGAUGAGUCAGCCGCAGCCGCAGAUGAUGGCACCGUCGUCGCAGGCCAUGGCGGUUCAGCAGCAACAGCAGCAGCAAUCUCAGUUGAUGAUGAUGAAGAGUCAGUCUCAGCCGAUGAUGAUGAAUCGGAACUACAAGGCUUGGCCACAGCCGCAGCCUCAAUUCGCUGCCCAAAAGCCGCCGCCGUCUAAUCCUGGGCGUAACAAUUGGAAAGGCAAGAAGGGUGGAGAUAAGAGGAGGAUGGACAAGAGUGUCCCCAGUUUGUCGCUGAGUGGUCAGACCAGCGGAGGAGGAGGGUACAUACCGCCGACGCUUCACGAGUUACAGUCUCAGAAUCGAAUGAAAGCCCGGAAAUUUUACCCGAAAAAGAAGUUUAACAAUAGGUUUGCGCCUUACGCCCCAAGGAACACGACGUCGUUUAUUAUUAGAGCGAAGAAGGCCGGCGGCAUAGCCUCGCUGGUUUCACCUUGUGCCGUAACUCCGGCUGUUCUGCCCACGCCAAUGUUCUCGCCCUCGAGGGAGGUCUUGGGAGAUAUGGCGAAAGAGGAGUGGGGUAUUGAUGGGUAUGGGUCAAUGAAAGGAUUGAUUCGGCUUCGGUCACCUGGAAAUGAUGACGAGGAGGGUGGUGGCGGAUCGAGUGAGAGCGAUGUGGAGGAGCAUGUGGAGGUGGAGAGGAGGUUGGACCAUGACUUGAGUCGAUUCGAGAUGGUGUACCCGAACUACAGCGGGGUUGAGUAUAACAAUGCUUUGGAGAAUAGGGUGGAUGAUCAGGAUACUCAUAUUGCUCAAUUAGAGGAAGAGAAUCUGACCUUGAAGGAGAGGCUUUUCUUGAUGGAGAGGGAGUUGGCGGAUUUGAGAAGGAGGAUGCAGUUCAUUGAGAGGAGGUACCAUGUGAUGGGGGAGGUCAAUGAAGAGGUGGUGGAAAAUGGAUCUGAAAAUGAUAGUGAUGGAGGGUCGGAUGCCCCUCAUAUGGGUACCGACGGGUGAGAGCAAUCCUGAGAUGGUAGAGUAUGUGUCGAGAGAUGGAGGAAGCAGAAGUGUUGGCCCAUUGGUCGAGGAUGAAAUUGUUAGGGAUGUUGAUGUAGGGAUGGAAGAAUAUGUGCCCGAUGAAAUGAUUUUGAAGGUAAAUGAAGCGAAUGAUGAAACACGAAAUGAGUUUGUAGGUAACAAAGAGGUUGAGGAAUUUAAGAGUGAGCUUACCCCAGAAGAACUAAUUGGAAAUAAAAAUGAGGUUGAAGAUAAGAAAGUGAAGGAUGAAGUCGAGUCAAGAAUGUGACUGAGUUAGUGCAGGGUGAGCUGAAUACAAAAGGAUGAUCUGAAUGCAAAGAAGGAUGAGGAGAUGGGAAUUGCGUGCCCGGAGAAGAGCAUUGGCGACGGUGACUAAUCUGUCCCGCGUUAAUGGGAUGAAUUAGCGCGUUGGAAAUUCAAAAGUUCCACGCGUGGAUGUCAAAAACCAGUACAAGUGGGAGUCCACGAGGAACAAGACUUGACUGGAGGUUGACUAAGCUGCUUCAUCUUUGUUUCAUUCGGUUGAUGCAUCACUACAUAACCAUCCUGGGGAGCCUUUUGGGAAUGUUUUUGCAGACGAGAAGAUGGCUGCUCGGAGCAUAGCUCUUCCUUGUUCGAACAUUAAUUUUUUCACGAAUAUUACUCGAGUAACUUCUGGUUGAGGUUCAUCUGUCUUAUUGAUGGUAAAGCCCAUUUGCUUCAGUCUGAAGCCGACGGACCAAGUAUCCUGAAUCACUUAUUUCAAAUCUCAUUGCCCCAAUUAAUCCAACUCACUGGCUCAUGUUUUUUAAGAAAAAUGCAAUAUUUUUUAUUUUUGCAAAAUAGUUUUCAUCAUGAUUAAGAAAAACUUUAUAAGAAUUUGAAAGUUGUUUUACCA
RNA transcript from Pyrus x bretschneideri (Chinese white pear), 2233 nucleotides. RefSeq lists it as uncharacterized. The transcript is spliced from 3 exons. NCBI's taxonomy places the organism in Eukaryota, Viridiplantae, Streptophyta, Magnoliopsida, Rosales, Rosaceae. The record is from RefSeq and is a predicted model, not a curated record.